This is a regulatory RNA element of Bizionia argentinensis, 103 nucleotides long. NCBI's taxonomy places the organism in Bacteria, Pseudomonadati, Bacteroidota, Flavobacteriia, Flavobacteriales, Flavobacteriaceae. The record is from Rfam.
AAUUAAGAGGAAAAAUUUGUCUGAUUGCAACCUCUUCAAACCACUAUUUUUCUCUAAAAACGAGACUUCAUUUGGUAUGGAAAUAAAUGCUAAAGCAGUUUUU